This 528-nucleotide ribosomal RNA is filed under the name Triticum aestivum (bread wheat). Its description in RNAcentral is "partial small subunit ribosomal RNA". Lineage: Eukaryota; Viridiplantae; Streptophyta; Magnoliopsida; Poales; Poaceae. The record is from RNAcentral.
AUGACGAGCAUGCGGCCGCCGCAGCCGCAGGCCAUCGCGCGGGUCUCCAUCUCGGCGCUGGCGAUCUCCCUGCCGAUCAUCUACGUGUCGCUGCUGCGUGUGCCGCCGUCCGCGCUCGCCAGGGACUCCACCUUCUGGUUCCUCAUGUCCCACUCCAUCAUCGCCAUCAUCGCCGCCGACUCCGGCGUGCUCUUCUUUAGCUCCGCACCCCACCACCAAUACGACGACCACGACCACGACAACCUCUCCGACGUCGUCGGUCUCCACCCGGCGGACGCAGUCCAAGAGGACUACUGUGACGUGACGUCGGUGCCGCUGAUGGCACCCCACGAGCCAACGGCGCCGGUCGAUAUAUCCACUAGUGUCGUCGUAGGAGGUGGUGACCAGCCAUCAUGCACUGGCAUGGAGGAGGAGGGGCAUGCGCUGGCUUUGACCAAAGGUAAAGGUGCCGCGAACAAGCGGAAAACUGACACGGACCAUACGUCGGUUCUUGAUAAAAGAAGAAGAAGAAGCGCCCGAACCAGUUAG